RNAcentral lists this ribosomal RNA (220 nucleotides) under uncultured bacterium. RNAcentral describes it as "partial 16S ribosomal RNA". It matches the Rfam family "Bacterial small subunit ribosomal RNA", at positions 28 to 253 of the family's 1533-position model. The record is from RNAcentral.
GACGAACGCUGGCGGCGUGCUUAACACAUGCAAGUCGAACGGUGAAGCCUUCGGGUGGAUCAGUGGCGAACGGGUGAGUAACACGUGAGCAAUCUGCCCUUGACUCUGGGAUAACUUCGGGAAACCGGAGCUAAUACCGGAUAUGACAUCUGGCCGCAUGGUCUGGGUGUGGAAAGAUUUAUCGGUCAAGGAUGAGCUCGCGGCCUAUCAGCUUGUUGGU